GGAAAAAAGUGGAAAGCAAUGAAAUUGAAACCAGUAAAUCAAUAGAGGAAAAUUGAUAAAACCAAAGUCUGGUUCUUUGAAAUAAUCAAUAAAAUUGGUAAACCUGUAGCCAGAUUAAGAAAGAAGAGACAAAUUACCAAUUUUAGCAUGCCAGCAAUGAGGAAUGGUCACUUGAAAUUUAAAAACACAGUACCACUUACAUUAGCACACACACACACACACACACACACACAAAAUGGAAGACGUAGGUAUAAGCCUAGUAAAAUAUACACAAGACCUAUGAGGAAAGCCAUAAAACUGUGAUGGAAAAAAAUUCUAAUAAAUAAAGAGAGAUCAUGUUCGUGGACAGGAAGACUCAAUAUUCUAAAAAUGUCAGUUCUUCCAAUUUGAUGUAUAGAUUCAAUGUAAUCUCAAUUAAAAGUCCCAACAAGUUAUUUUAUGGAUAUUAACAAGGUAAUGCUAAAUUUUACAGGGAAAGAGAAGAGUAUGACCAAUGCAGUACUGAAGAGUAAUAAAGUAAAGACACUGAUACUACUGACCUCAAGACUUACUAGAAAGCUAUAGUAACCAAGAUGGUAUGACGUUGGCAUAAAAACAGAAAAGGGACCAAGGAUAUAACACUUGCUUAGUAUGUAUAUUGCCCCAAAUUUGAUCUCUCACACUGCAAAACAGAAGAACAAAAACCAAAACCAAAACAAACAAACAAAAAAAAAACCUAGACCAAUUGAUCAAUGGAACAGACAGAAAGCCCAGAAAUGGAUUCACACAAAUAUAAUCAACUAAUUUUUGAAAAAGGAAUAAGUGAAAUUCAAUGAAGAAGUUUGUUUCAAUAAAUGUGUCUGGCACAAAUGUUUAUACGCAUGCAAAAAAGGAGGAGGAGGCAGAGGAGAGGAAGAGUCCAGACAUAGACCUUACACUUUUUGUAAAAAUUAAAGCUGGGGCUGGAAUUGUAGCUCAUUGGUAGUGUGCCUGUCUACUAUGGUACGACGUUGGCAUAAAAACAGAAAAGGGACCAAGGAUAUAACACUUGCUUAGUAUGUAUAUUGCCCCAAAUUUGAUCUCUCACACUGCAAAACAGAAGAACAAAAACCAAAACCAAAACAAACAAACAAAAAAAAAACCUAGACCAAUUGAUCAAUGGAACAGACAGAAAGCCCAGAAAUGGAUUCACACAAAUAUAAUCAACUAAUUUUUGAAAAAGGAAUAAGUGAAAUUCAAUGAAGAAGUUUGUUUCAAUAAAUGUGUCUGGCACAAAUGUUUAUACGCAUGCAAAAAAGGAGGAGGAGGCAGAGGAGAGGAAGAGUCCAGACAUAGACCUUACACUUUUUGUAAAAAUUAAAGCUGGGGCUGGAAUUGUAGCUCAUUGGUAGUGUGCCUGUCUACUAUGGUACUGGGUUCAAUCAUUAACACCACAUAAAAUAAAUAAAUAAAAUAAAGGAUUAAAAAACAUUAUUUUAGAAAAAUAAAGUCACAGACUGAAAGAAAGUCUUUAGUGAACACAUUUCCAUAAAGAGCUGCCAUCUACAAUAUACAGCGAACCCUUAAAAUUUAGAAAACAGUCAAAUCUUAAAACAGGCAAAAGGAUGAACAGAUAUCUCACCAAACAAGAUAUAGAGCUGGAAAACAGGCAUAUACAAAGAUGUUCAACCUCAUAUGUUAUUUAAGAAUUGCAAAUAAGGCAGGCAUAGUGGCACAUGCCUGUAAUCCCAGAUAUCUGGAAGGCAAAGGCAGGAGGAGCAGAAGUUUGAAGGCAGCCCCAGCAACUUCUGAUUUGAAGCCUUGUCUCAAAAUACAAAAAGAACUGGGGAUGUAGCUCCACGUAGAGUGACACAGGGUUUAAUCUCAAGUACCACAAAAACAAAAGCAAAUAAAAAACAUCAGCAAUGAGAUACCACUGCACAGUUACUAGAAUAGCUAAAAUCCAAAACAUUAACAAUUAAAUGCUGGUGAGGAUGUAGAGCAACUGGAACUCUCAGUGCUGAUGGGAAUAAAAAAUGUACAGCAACUGUAGAAGACAGCUUGGCAAUUUGUUACAAAACAAAGCUGACUUAUCUUACACUCUAACUAUUAUUCUCCUUGGUAUUUACCCAAAUGAAUUGAAAACUUACAGCCACUAAAUUCUGUACAUGAAUGUUUAUAGCCACUUUAUUUAUAAUUGCCAAAACUUGGAAGCAACCAUGAUAACCUUCAAUAUAUGGAAGGAUGAGCAAAUAGUGGCACAUCCAUACAAUGAACUAUUAUUCAGUAAUUUAAAAAAAUGAUGGGGCUGGGGUUAUGGCUCAGUGGUAGAGUGCUAGCCUCGCACGUGCAAGGCCCUGGGUUCGAUCCUCAGCACCACAUAUAAAUAAAAUAAAGUUAUUGUGUCCAACUACUGCUAAGUGAAAGAAGCUGUCUUAAAAAAACUAUAAGCUGUAUAAUUCCAACUAUAUGACCUCUGAUCUGAUCAAAACUAUGGAAAUGGGAAAAAAGAUCAGUGGUUUCCAGGAUUGGGAGGAGAAAAGGCUGAAUAGGUGAAGCCCAGAGACUUAGGGCAGUGAAAGUAUUCUUAUGAUACAGUGAUGGUGAAUAUAUGAAGUCUAACAUAACAAAUGGACUAUAGUUAAUGUAUCAAUAUUAGUUUAUCAGUUAUAACAAAUGACCCACGUGUAUUAUUAUUACAAGAUAUUAAUAAUAGGGGAAACUGUUUCAAGCAGCUAUAUGGAACUCUCUUUUCAUUCCACUCAAUUUUUCUAUAAUCCUAAAGCUGUUCUAAAAACUGACACUAAUUUUAAUGAAAAAAUAACUUUGAACUAAAAGAUUAUUUAGUAUGAACACCCUAAAAUUCAUUGUGUGCAUCAGAAAAUCAAGAUUGUUGUGAAGAUUGGCUAAGAGUUCCAUUGACCCUAAUGAAAGAGAUAACUUGGGAUUAUUUUAAUACAAAAUCAAACUUACCUUGCCAUCAUUAAAUCAGUGGUGGAAAUCUGAUAUGACAGCUAGUUGCAGCUUUUAAGUGCAACAGGAAUCAAGUAUAUGGACCAAUCUUCAUAUGCUUUAAUGAAACAACAAAAAAUACCCAAAUUACUUUGCUAUGAAAGGCAGAUGAAAUAUAAAUUUAGCAUUUUCUUUGGCAUCCUUUGACUUACAUGGUUCAUGGCUUAAAAAUUAUUGAGAUAAAUUAUGUACUCUUCUCAGGAAAAUGUUUUUAAUUGUUGAGUGAUGUUUUUUUUAGCUAAGUAAUUAGAAAUGUAAAGUAUAUAAUACAAGAAGUACGGAUUCCAGAACUCUUAGUGAACUUUCUGUAGCCAUUUGUCUUUUAAAUAUAUGGAUCUAUAAUCAAGGGUGAAAGUUAUUUCAUAUCUCUCUCUCUCUCUCUCUCUCUCUCUCUCACACACACACACACACACACACACACACACAAUUAUUUAUCCAGCAAAACCAAGGAAGAAAUAUGUUGAAUAUUCUUAUGGAUUAAUUGGAACACUGAACUUCCUCCCCUCCCCUCCCCCUUCUAAUAAAUCUCAUUUUAAAUAGCAUUCCCUCCUCCUGGGUCAAGGACAGAAGAACUGGUUUCAUUAUUUGGCUCAUUAAUUAGGUAAAUAUACUCAAAGAUAAUACACCUCUACUCUGUCUACUUAGAGAACUCAACUAUGUUCACUAGCCAAUACCCCAAACUGUAUUUGAAACCUUUUAAGUUAAGAGGGUUUCAAAUACAGUUUGGGGUAUUGGCUAUAUAUCCCCCUGGCUUCAAUCACAAAUUUAAAGAACCUGCUGAAAUUCAC
This 3758-nucleotide long non-coding RNA is filed under the name Marmota monax (woodchuck). Lineage: Eukaryota; Metazoa; Chordata; Mammalia; Rodentia; Sciuridae. The record is from RNAcentral.